UAAGCGGAGGAAAGAAACCAACCGGGAUUGCCUUAGUAACGGCGAGUGAAGCGGCAAAAGCUCAAAUUUGAAAUCUGGUACCUUCGGUGCCCGAGUUGUAAUUUGGAGAGGGCAACUUUGGGGCCGUUCCUUGUCUAUGUUCCUUGGAACAGGACGUCAUAGAGGGUGAGAAUCCCGUGUGGCGAGGAGUGCGGUUCUUUGUAAAGUGCCUUCGAAGAGUCGAGUUGUUUGGGAAUGCAGCUCUAAGUGGGUGGUAAAUUCCAUCUAAAGCUAAAUAUUGGCGAGAGACCGAUAGCGAACAAGUACAGUGAUGGAAAGAUGAAAAGAACUUUGAAAAGAGAGUGAAAAAGUACGUGAAAUUGUUGAAAGGGAAGGGCAUUUGAUCAGACAUGGUGUUUUGUGCCCUCUGCUCCUUGUGGGUAGGGGAAUCUCGCAUUUCACUGGGCCAGCAUCAGUUUUGGUGGCAGGAUAAAUCCAUAGGAAUGUAGCUUGCCUCGGUAAGUAUUAUAGCCUGUGGGAAUACUGCCAGCUGGGACUGAGGACUGCGACGUAAGUCAAGGAUGCUGGCAUAAUGGUUAUAUGCCGCCCGUCUUGAAACACGGAC
RNAcentral lists this ribosomal RNA (604 nucleotides) under Saccharomyces cerevisiae (brewer's yeast). RNAcentral describes it as "eukaryotic LSU rRNA". It matches the Rfam family "Eukaryotic large subunit ribosomal RNA", at positions 47 to 666 of the family's 3401-position model. Lineage: Eukaryota; Fungi; Ascomycota; Saccharomycetes; Saccharomycetales; Saccharomycetaceae. The record is from RNAcentral.